This 305-nucleotide ribosomal RNA is filed under the name uncultured bacterium. RNAcentral's name for it is "bacterial SSU rRNA". It matches the Rfam family "Bacterial small subunit ribosomal RNA", at positions 334 to 654 of the family's 1533-position model. The record is from RNAcentral.
GUGUACCUACGGGACGCAGCAGUGGGGAAUAUUGCACAAUGGGGGAAACCCUGAUGCAGCGACGCCGCGUGAGUGAAGAAGUAUUUCGGUAUGUAAAGCUCUAUCAGCAGGGAAGAAGCAAGACGGUACCUGACUAAGAAGCCCCGGCUAACUACGUGCCAGCAGCCGCGGUAAUACGUAGGGGGCAAGCGUUAUCCGGAUUUACUGGGUGUAAAGGGAGCGUAGACGGUCCUGCAAGCCAGAUGUGAAAGCCCGGGGCUCAACCCCGGGACUGCAUUUGGCACUGUAAGGCUAGAGUGUCGGAG